CUUCUUUUUCCACCGGAGCUUGCUCCACCGGAAAAAGARGAGUGGCGAACGGGUGAGUAACACGUGGGUAACCUGCCCAUCAGAAGGGGAUAACACUUGGAAACAGGUGCUAAUACCGUAUAACAAUCGAAACCGCAUGGUUUUGAUUUGAAAGGCGCUUUCGGGUGUCGCUGAUGGAUGGACCCGCGGUGCAUUAGCUAGUUGGUGAGGUAACGGCUCACCAAGGCCACGAUGCAUAGCCGACCUGAGAGGGUGAUCGGCCACAUUGGGACUGAGACACGGCCCAAACUCCUACGGGAGGCAGCAGUAGGGAAUCUUCGGCAAUGGACGAAAGUCUGACCGAGCAACGCCGCGUGAGUGAAGAAGGUUUUCGGAUCGUAAAACUCUGUUGUUAGAGAAGAACAAGGAUGAGAGUAACUGUUCAUCCCUUGACGGUAUCUAACCAGAAAGCCACGGCUAACUACGUGCCAGCAGCCGCGGUAAUACGUAGGUGGCAAGCGUUGUCCGGAUUUAUUGGGCGUAAAGCGAGCGCAGGCGGUUUCUUAAGUCUGAUGUGAAAGCCCCCGGCUCAACCGGGGAGGGUCAUUGGAAACUGGGAGACUUGAGUGCAGAAGAGGAGAGUGGAAUUCCAUGUGUAGCGGUGAAAUGCGUAGAUAUAUGGAGGAACACCAGUGGCGAAGGCGGCUCUCUGGUCUGUAACUGA
RNAcentral lists this ribosomal RNA (703 nucleotides) under Enterococcus durans. Its description in RNAcentral is "bacterial SSU rRNA". It matches the Rfam family "Bacterial small subunit ribosomal RNA", at positions 69 to 743 of the family's 1533-position model. Lineage: Bacteria; Bacillati; Bacillota; Bacilli; Lactobacillales; Enterococcaceae. The record is from RNAcentral.